Nomascus leucogenys (northern white-cheeked gibbon) is the source of this 157-nucleotide small nuclear RNA. Its record names the gene U1. It matches the Rfam family "U1 spliceosomal RNA". Rfam says of the family: U1 is a small nuclear RNA (snRNA) component of the spliceosome (involved in pre-mRNA splicing). Lineage: Eukaryota; Metazoa; Chordata; Mammalia; Primates; Hylobatidae. The record is from Ensembl.
AUACUUAUCUGGCAGGGGAGAUAACCAUGAUCACAAAGGUGGUUUUCCCAGGGCAAGGCUUAUCCAUAGCACUCUGGACGUGCUGGCCUCUGUGAUGUCCCCAAAUAUGGGAAACUUGACUGCAUAAUUUGUGGUAGUGGGGCACUGCAUUCGCUAA